Ornithodoros turicata is the source of this 346-nucleotide long non-coding RNA. RefSeq lists it as uncharacterized. Lineage: Eukaryota; Metazoa; Arthropoda; Arachnida; Ixodida; Argasidae. The record is from RefSeq and is a predicted model, not a curated record. The transcript has 3 exons.
UCUUGUGUGAGCCAGUGGUUGCUGUUUACGACGUGUUCAUAUAUCGAUUUGAAGCGCUGUAAUGUGCAAAUUAGCGGACUUUAUAGCGGCUCUCUAUUUUCCGUCGUUGUCUUUCGAGCAGCGCCUGUUGUUGCGGUAAAAAUCGUGUUGAAUGAAUCGCCACAGCCCCAACGUAUAUCGCGCAGUGUUGACCAAGUCAAGCAGGAAUUCUGGCAUGGUAUGUGGCUGCACGGAGGAUUCCGAAAAGGAAAAACAACAACAUGGCUAAUAGGAUGUUGCUGCCCAGGGAGUCCUGGCGAAGAGGUUUACUCAUUCCAGAAGCAAGAAUUGUAUCAUUGUAAGGCGA